RNAcentral lists this long non-coding RNA (211 nucleotides) under Capsicum annuum. RNAcentral's name for it is "long non-coding RNA (CANN_LNC007930)". Lineage: Eukaryota; Viridiplantae; Streptophyta; Magnoliopsida; Solanales; Solanaceae. The record is from RNAcentral.
UUAGAAUGGAUGAAUGUUUGGAUAUUUAAGAGAGGAAAGUGAAAUGAACCAUUUGAAAUCUUUCACCUUGUUUUUAAAACUAUCGAGUAUAGCGAUCGUGAUAAGCGUAUCGCUUAUGUGAUGUUCGACUAUAAUUGAUGCAUCAUUUACACGAUCUGUUUAUCAUGUUCACGAUAUCUGAGGACCUCAGGUGCUGAAUUUUUGCAUUCGC